AGAGAACCCCUCCAUGGGCUCU
Molecule: small nuclear RNA, 22 nt
Filed under: Arabidopsis thaliana (thale cress)
Lineage: Eukaryota; Viridiplantae; Streptophyta; Magnoliopsida; Brassicales; Brassicaceae
Description: snRNA_06535
Source: RNAcentral